This 1374-nucleotide long non-coding RNA is filed under the name Anolis carolinensis (green anole). RNAcentral's name for it is "lncRNA (ENSACAG00000038885.1)". The record is from RNAcentral. Lineage: Eukaryota; Metazoa; Chordata; Lepidosauria; Squamata; Anolidae.
AUGACUCCCAGGACUGCACAGCAUGGAGAAUGGCAUAAUAAUAAUAAUAAUAAUAAUAAUAAUAAUAAUAAUAAUAAUAAUAAUAAUAUUUGGCCCAAUGGCCAAACAAUAAGGUGUCACCAGCCAGAGGCCUAUAAAUAUCUGGGCAUAUUACAGCUGGACAACAUCAAGCAUGAACAUGUGAAAACUGUGGUCAGUAAAGAAUACACACAAAAGGUCAGAAAAAUUCUCAAAAGCAAGCUCAAUGGAGGCAACACCAUCAAGGCCAUAAACACCUGGGCCAUACCUGUCAUAAGAUAUACUGCUGGCAUUAUAAACUGGACACAGAUGGAACUGGACAAUUUGGACAGAAAAACAAGAAAACUCAUGACCAUUCAUCAUUCACUGCACCCUCGCAGUGAUGUUGACCGGCUGUAUCUGCCUAGAAGAUCAGGGGGCAGAGGACUGUUACAAGUAAAACAAGCAGUCAAAGAAGAAGAACAUGCCCUGGCAGAAUAUGUAAAACAAAGUGAAGAACCUGCUUUGAUUGAAGUCAAAAAUCAGAAACUCCUCAAAGCACAGCAGACAAAAAACCAGUACAAGAAAACCGCACUACAAACUAGAGCUGACAGCUGGCACAACAAAACACUGCAUGGAAAGUUCCUUGACAAAAUUGAAGGAAAAGCUGAUAAGGAGAAGACCUGGCUCUGGCUCACGAAUGGGACCCUGAAGAAGGAGACAGAAGGCCUGAUCCUUGCAGCCCAGGAGCAAGCCAUCAGAACAAAUGCAAUCAAGGCCAAGAUCGAAAAAUCAGCUGAUGACCCAAAGUGCAGACUGUGCAAGGAAACCGAUGAAACCAUUGAUCAUAUCCUCAGCUGCUGUAAGAAAAUUGCACAGACAGACUACAAACAGAGGCACAACUAUGUGGCCCAAAUGAUUCAUUGGAACCUAUGCCUCAAGUAUCACCUCCCUGCAGUUAAGAACUGGUGGGAUCACAAACCUGCAAAGGUUGUGGAAAAUGAACACGCAAAGAUACUGUGGGACUUCCGAAUCCAGACUGACAAAGUUCUGGAACACAACACACCAGACAUCACAGUUGUGGAAAAGAACAAGGUUUGGAUCAUUGAUGUUGCCAUCCCAGGUGACAGUCGCAUUGAAGAAAAACAACAGGAAAAACUCAGCCGCUAUCAGGACCUCAAGAUUGAACUUCAAAGACUCUGGCAGAAACCAGUGCAGGUGGUCCCAGUGGUGAUGGGCACACUGGGUGCCGUGCCAAAAGAUCUCAGCCGGCAUUUGGAAACAAUAGACAUUGACAAAAUUACGAUCUGCCAACUGCAAAAGGCCACCUUACUGGGAUCUGCACGCAUCAUCCGAAAAUACAUCACACAGUCCUAG